GCAAGAUGGAAUUUGACAUUUUUACUACUUCCAGUAUGGAAUGGGGGAAGAAACGACAUGCUUCAACACUCGAAACAGAAAAAAAUAUCACAAAGAACAAAAUAGAACUACACUGAUAUUUCAAGAAUCUGAUUGUAGCACUCAAACAAAUGAACGGAGGAAGUGAUAAAAUUGGCAAUGAAAGCAUAAGAUGCGACUUGACGGAUGACAACUAAAUAAACUUAACACAAGGAGAAACAAAGACGAAAACAAACACGAAGCUAUUGGGUCAAAGCGUAAACGGACCAACCAUGUAUACUCACAUUCGAGUAUCUCAACACAACUUGACCCAAAAACGAAACAAAGGAACAACAAAUUGGUGAACAGCAACACAUAACGAUUUAGACUAUCACUAGAGAAAAUCGAUAGUCACAGCUAAAAACCAUCGCAUCAAAGCAACAAAGAUGAGGUAAGUUCGAAAGGGGUAAACCGUACCUUUUCCGGUGCAGCAAGACUGAGACGAGAA
This 505-nucleotide unclassified non-coding RNA is filed under the name Hevea brasiliensis (rubber tree). Lineage: Eukaryota; Viridiplantae; Streptophyta; Magnoliopsida; Malpighiales; Euphorbiaceae. The record is from RNAcentral.